RNAcentral lists this ribosomal RNA (629 nucleotides) under uncultured Dechloromonas sp. RNAcentral's name for it is "bacterial SSU rRNA". It matches the Rfam family "Bacterial small subunit ribosomal RNA", at positions 895 to 1524 of the family's 1533-position model. Lineage: Bacteria; Pseudomonadati; Pseudomonadota; Betaproteobacteria; Rhodocyclales; Azonexaceae. The record is from RNAcentral.
UAAAACUCAAAGGAAUNGACGGGGACCCGCACAAGCGUGGAUGAUGUGGAUUAAUUCGAUGCAACGCGAAAANCCUUACCUACCCNUGACAUGUCAGAAACUUGGCAGAGAUGCCUUGGUGCCCGAAAGGGAAUCUGAACACAGGUGCUGCAUGGCUGUCGUCAGCUCGUGUCGUGAGAUGUUGGGUUAAGUCCCGCAACGAGCGCAACCCUUGUCGUUAAUUGCCAUCAUUUAGUUGGGCACUUUAACGAGACUGCCGGUGACAAACCGGAGGAAGGUGGGGAUGACGUCAAGUCCUCAUGGCCCUUAUGGGUAGGGCUUCACACGUCAUACAAUGGUCGGUACAGAGGGUUGCCAAGCCGCGAGGUGGAGCCAAUCCCAGAAAGCCGAUCGUAGUCCGGAUUGCAGGCUGCAACUCGCCUGCAUGAAGUCGGAAUCGCUAGUAAUCGCGGAUCAGCAUGUCGCGGUGAAUACGUUCCCGGGUCUUGUACACACCGCCCGUCACACCAUGGGAGCGGGUUCCGCCAGAAGUAGGUAGCCUAACCGCAAGGGGGGCGCUUACCACGGCGGGGUUCGUGACUGGGGUGAAGUCGUAACAAGGUAGCCGUAGGGGAACCUGCGGCUGGAUC